This 400-nucleotide ribosomal RNA is filed under the name uncultured bacterium. RNAcentral describes it as "bacterial SSU rRNA". It matches the Rfam family "Bacterial small subunit ribosomal RNA", at positions 355 to 772 of the family's 1533-position model. The record is from RNAcentral.
UGGGGAAUAUUGGACAAUGGGGGAAACCCUGAUCCAGCAAUGCCGCGUGGGUGAUGAAGGCCUUCGGGUUGUAAAGCCCUUUUGGUAGGGACGAUGAUGACGGUACCUACCGAAUAAGCCCCGGCUAACUUAGUGCCAGCAGCCGCGGUAAUACGAAGGGGGCUAGCGUUGUUCGGAAUUACUGGGCGUAAAGGGCGCGUAGGCGGCUUCGAUAGUCGGGCGUGAAAUGCCUGGGCUCAACCCGGGAACUGCGUUCGAAACUUCGAGGCUAGAGUGUGGGAGAGGUUGGUGGAAUUCCCAGUGUAGAGGUGAAAUUCGUGGAUAUUGGGAAGAACACCGGUGGCGAAGGCGGCCAACUGGACCACAACUGACGCUGAGGCGCGAAAGCGUGGGGAGCAAA